This is a long non-coding RNA of Papaver somniferum (opium poppy), 834 nucleotides long. RefSeq lists it as uncharacterized. The transcript has 2 exons. The record is from RefSeq and is a predicted model, not a curated record. Lineage: Eukaryota; Viridiplantae; Streptophyta; Magnoliopsida; Ranunculales; Papaveraceae.
GAUGCUUUGCCUUUCUCUCCCAACUCUCCAUCUUCUCCUACUUUUACCUAAAACACGUUAUCACACACGAACUCUAACCUUGGCGUAAAAGAGAUAAAAAAAAUUUCUUCCGGUUAUCAUCGAUUCUGUGAACAACACUUCAGAAAGUUCAAUUGGAUUUGGCUUCAACAAUUUUUUUUCUCACUAAUUGUUCUCAAUACAUCUGUAUUUUCUUGGGUCUUUUGAGGAGUUAAUUAUCAAAUCAAAUCACGUAAGGAGUUGGAUCGUUAUUUCAGUUUUUCUUUCAAUCACGGAGAAUGUGUUGGUGGAAUAUCUAACACACGGAGACGCUGCCGCACGGAAAAAGAAAAGAAACCGGAGAAAGAGAAUUGUCACCGAAUCGAUACACCUUGCGGUCCAACUCGGCCCCGAUCCAGCGGUCCAACUCGACCCCGAUCCAGCGGUCCAACUCGGCCCCUGUUCAGUUCCAGCCGAGCCAGUCAUGUUCCGAUUUGGUUCUGCUCCGUUGAGGUUAUCCUGUCCCGUUGCAAACUUUAGUUCCGGGGCCUGCACGGUUAAUGUCGUUCCGGUUUUGGCUGUGUAUGGUGGGAACCAAAUCUUUGAGAUACAUACAGUGAUUAUUUUUUGGGCUUACUUAUUUUAUUUUCCAUUAUUUUUAUCUUUGGUUUAAGAUAAGUCCAUACCAUAUUUAAAUUAUGAUCGUUGAUCUCGAUUAUUAAGAAAAUGUGUAUAUCUCAUAUAAAACUCUCUACCAAUGAUAAUGUACCGUCUAAAAGGUGGAGCCAUAUGUCUCUAUGCUAUGAAGAAAAUUUAAACUCUCAUGAUUUUAUUUUA